AUGGCUGCUUCUUCCUCCUCUGUUUCCCACAUCCUCAACCAACAAGUCUUUGAAAAGCUCACAAGAGAGAAUUAUGUCUUGUGGAAGGCGCAAGUCCUGCCCCCAAUUCGAGGUGCCAUGCUUGCCGGUUAUCUGGAUGGGCCGGUUCAGGCGCCGGAGAAAACCAUCACCACUACCACGGAUGGGGGAAGUCAGGAAGCUGUCAAUCCUGCCUAUGCCCAAUGGCUUGCCCAAGAUCAACAAGUUCUGGGGUACGUGUUCAAUUCUCUCUCGAAGGAAGUGUUGACUCAGGUCGCCUCAUUG
Molecule: ribosomal RNA, 303 nt
Filed under: Triticum aestivum (bread wheat)
Lineage: Eukaryota; Viridiplantae; Streptophyta; Magnoliopsida; Poales; Poaceae
Description: partial small subunit ribosomal RNA
Source: RNAcentral